CGAGUGAAGCGGUAACAGCUCAAAUUUGAAAUCUGGCCUCACGGUCCGAGUUGUAAUUUGUAGAGGAUGUUUCGAGCAUGGUCUGGCCUAAGUUCCUUGGAACAGGACGUCAUAGAGGGUGAGAAUCCCGUAUGCGGUCAGGUGCCUACGCUCAUGUGAAACUCCUUCGACGAGUCGAGUUGUUUGGGAAUGCAGCUCAAAAUGGGUGGUAAAUUUCAUCUAAAGCUAAAUAUUGGCCAGAGACCGAUAGCGCACAAGUAGAGUGAUCGAAAGAUGAAAAGCACUUUGGAAAGAGAGUUAAACAGUACGUGAAAUUGUUGAAAGGGAAGCGCUUGCAACCAGACUUGCGCGCGGCUGAUCAUCCGGUGUUCUCACUGGUGCACUCGGUCGCGCUCAGGCCAGCAUCGGUUUUGGUGGUUGGAUAAAGGCCUUAGGAAUGUAGCUCCUCUCGGGGAGUGUUAUAGCCUAGGGUGCAAUGCAGCCUACCGGGACCGAGGACCGCGCUUCGGCUAGGAUGCUGGCGUAAUGGUUGUAAGCGGCCCGUCUUGAAACACGGACCAAGGAGUCUAACAUCUAUGCGAGUGUUUGGGUGUCAAACCCAUACGCGUAAUGAAAGUGAACGGAGGUGAGAACCCUUAAGGGUGCAUCAUCGACCGAUCCUGAUGUCUUCGGAUGGAUUUGAGUAAGAGCAUAGCUGUUGGGACCCGAAAGAUGGUGAACUAUGCCUGAAUAGGGUGAAGCCAGAGGAAACUCUGGUGGAGGCUCGCAGCGGUUCUGACGUGCAAAUCGAUCGUCAAAUUUGGGUAUAGGGGCG
RNAcentral lists this ribosomal RNA (814 nucleotides) under Pseudeurotium sp. 795_3_CY02. Its description in RNAcentral is "eukaryotic LSU rRNA". It matches the Rfam family "Eukaryotic large subunit ribosomal RNA", at positions 90 to 925 of the family's 3401-position model. Lineage: Eukaryota; Fungi; Ascomycota; Leotiomycetes; Thelebolales; Pseudeurotiaceae. The record is from RNAcentral. RNAcentral also lists the same sequence under 1 other name.